AUGCCUCUCCAGGAUCUGGUUACAGCUGAGAAGCCCAUGCCACUAUUUGUUGAAAAAUGUGUGGAAUUUAUUGAAGAUACAGGGUUACCUACUGAAGGACUCUACCGUGUGAGCGGGAACAAAACUGAUCAAGACAAUAUUCAAAAGCAGUUUGAUCAAGUUCAUACUAUCAAUCUAGUGUCAAUGGAAGUAACAGUAAAUGCUGUAGCUGGAACUCUGAAAGCUUUCCUUGCAGAUCUGCCAGAUCCUUUAAUUCCAUAUUCUCUUCAUCUAGAGCUUUUGGAAGCAGUAAAAAUCCCAGAUAAAACAGAACGUUUUCACGCCUUGAAAGAAAUUGUUAAGAAAUUUCAUCCUGUAAACUAUGAUGUAUUCAGAUAUGUGAUAACACAUCUAAACAGGGAUAGUCAGGAAAAUGAAAUCAACUUAAUGACAGCAAACAACUUAUCCAUCUGUUUUUGACCAACCUUGAUGAGACAUGAUUUUGAAAAUCUAGUGUUUCUGUCUACCACUGAGAUUCAUCAAUCAGUUGUUGAAACAUUCUCUACCUUUUUAAUGUGGCCACAGAACAUUUAA
Carlito syrichta (Philippine tarsier) is the source of this 573-nucleotide RNA transcript. It is a transcript of the gene named rho GTPase-activating protein 5 pseudogene, with no coding region annotated. The transcript has a single exon. The record is from RefSeq and is a predicted model, not a curated record. Lineage: Eukaryota; Metazoa; Chordata; Mammalia; Primates; Tarsiidae.